This 260-nucleotide ribosomal RNA is filed under the name Escherichia coli. RNAcentral's name for it is "partial 16S ribosomal RNA". It matches the Rfam family "Bacterial small subunit ribosomal RNA", at positions 1 to 257 of the family's 1533-position model. Lineage: Bacteria; Pseudomonadati; Pseudomonadota; Gammaproteobacteria; Enterobacterales; Enterobacteriaceae. The record is from RNAcentral.
AAAUUGAAGAGUUUGAUCAUGGCUCAGAUUGAACGCUGGCGGCAGGCCUAACACAUGCAAGUCGAACGGUAACAGGAAGAAGCUUGCUUCUUUGCUGACGAGUGGCGGACGGGUGAGUAAUGUCUGGGAAACUGCCUGAUGGAGGGGGAUAACUACUGGAAACGGUAGCUAAUACCGCAUAACGUCGCAAGACCAAAGAGGGGGACCUUCGGGCCUCUUGCCAUCGGAUGUGCCCAGAUGGGAUUAGCUAGUAGGUGGGG